GACGAACGCUGGCGGCGUGCCUAAUACAUGCAAGUGGGACGCAAGGAAACACACUGUGCUUGCACACCGUGUUUUCUUGAGUCGCGAACGGGUGAGUAACGCGUAGGUAACCUGCCUAUUAGCGGGGGAUAACUAUUGGAAACGAUAGCUAAUACCGCAUAAUAUUAAUUAUUGCAUGAUAAUUGAUUGAAAGAUGCAAGCGCAUCACUAGUAGAUGGACCUGCGUUGUAUUAGCUAGUUGGUAAGGUAAGAGCUUACCAAGGCGACGAGACAUAGCCGACCUGAGAGGGUGAUCGGCCACACUGGGACUGAGACACGGCCCAGACUCCUACGGGAGGCAGCAGUAGGGAAUCUUCGGCAAUGGACGAAAGUCUGACCGAGCAACGCCGCGUGAGUGAAGAAGGUUUUCGGAUCGUAAAGCUCUGUUGUAAGUCAAGAACGUGUGUGAGAGUGGAAAGUUCACACAGUGACGGUAGCUUACCAGAAAGGGACGGCUAACUACGUG
RNAcentral lists this ribosomal RNA (505 nucleotides) under uncultured bacterium. RNAcentral's name for it is "partial 16S ribosomal RNA". It matches the Rfam family "Bacterial small subunit ribosomal RNA", at positions 28 to 507 of the family's 1533-position model. The record is from RNAcentral.